ACUUUACAUAUUAGGAUUAUACAAUUAACUAUCUUUUGAUUCACUAAAAACACCCAAGAAAGCUAUAAUAUCUUCUACAUUCUAUCAAUUCUUCUUCUAACAAAUAAAUAACUACAAUUGAUAAUUUUUUCUCAUGCAUUCACUAUCUCUUCUCUUCUCCAAACUUAUGACAACAAUAUGUAAUAUUGCACUAUCUUAAAAGACUACAUAAAGUAUUCUAUAAUAUAAUUACUAGAAUUUUUCAAAAUUAACUGUCAUUCCAAGUAAUCUACUGUACACAAUUCCAGACUCCACAGACUUCUUUUUAUAGAACACAUUCAACUCUUGAUUAACAAUAUAUUAUAAUUCUCCCAGUCAUAUCCAUACUUCACAAACAUCUUCAAUUAUCGACUUUCCAAUUUUCUACUUAUAAUUCAAUACACAAUAAAUUUAAUUUUUUAUUUGACAUCAUAUAAAUCAAAUCUUUCUUUCAUUACAAAAUUUUACUUCAUAUUAUUUAAAAUCUACCCAUUUCUUUUCUUUUAUUAAAAUAAAAAUAAAAAACAAGAAGUAGUACCAAGCUUACUCUAGCUCAUGACUAUCACAGUGUAGCCUUGUCUACUUCUUCUUCAACCAAUUUAUACUUAUCUCAAAACACAGAUUUUAAUCAAUAUUUCUUGCUUAACUAUUUUUCUUGACUAAAUCAUCCAUCCUACCUCUUGAAUUAACUGUCUUAUGGAUGAUUAAUCUAUUGUAUCAAUAUCUAAUCAAUAUCCUAUAAAAACCAAUUUCUACCUAUUCUACAUAGCUCAACUCUUAAUUGUGCAGUAUCCUCACAAACAUGGAAUUGAUAAAAAAAAACUUCUUCAACAAAAUCCUUACAAAGUAUCUAUUCCUUUGGCUAGCUAGAUUGAUCAAUCCCAACAUUCUUUAUAGUUGAUUCCACUGAUUUUGGUUCUAAUGAUAAAUCUUCAUCCUCCUCCAAUACUUCCAUUACUUCUUUUUUUAAUUGGACUAAUAAGUCUUCAUUAUAAAUUCUCAAUUUAUGAACUUGAACCUCCAAUUGCAGAAUUCUGACAUCUUUUACUUUCAAAUGGUACUGCUGUUGCUUCAUCUUCUAUUCUAAUUCAUCAAUUAUUGAAACUAUUGGGGCAGACAUUUGUGAUUGACCAAUACUGGCUAAAUCACCCUCCAAUUUUGUCACUAUAGCUUUCAAGGUUUUAAUUUUUACCUAUAAUUUUUUCAUUUCAAUUCUAUAUUUGUCACUUAAUUUCUUUUUUUUUCCUAUUUCAAUAACUUUGUCUUUUCUCAUUAUACUUUCAACUGACACUUUACCUCC
This 1318-nucleotide long non-coding RNA is filed under the name Physcomitrium patens. RNAcentral describes it as "long non-coding RNA (PPAT_LNC006670)". Lineage: Eukaryota; Viridiplantae; Streptophyta; Bryopsida; Funariales; Funariaceae. The record is from RNAcentral.